Molecule: long non-coding RNA, 110 nt
Organism: Sander lucioperca (pikeperch)
Lineage: Eukaryota; Metazoa; Chordata; Actinopteri; Perciformes; Percidae
Exons: 3
Source: RefSeq, a predicted model, not a curated record
CGGCAAAAUAGGCUAUGACAAAGCCAGAGUACAGUAACAUCACGGCGGCACAGUAACAUCUCUCUUGAUGCCUGGCUAAACAAAGUCAGAACACCGUAACUCAACUUUAG